UUGUUGGUAAGGUAAAGGCUUACCAAGGCUUCGAUCAGUAGCUGGUCUGAGAGGACGGCCAGCCACACUGGGACUGAGACACGGCCCAGACUCCUACGGGAGGCAGCAGUGGGGAAUUUUGGACAAUGGGGGAAACCCUGAUCCAGCCAUGCCGCGUGAGUGAAGAAGGCCUUCGGGUUGUAAAGCUCUUUCAGCCGGAACGAAACGGUUACGGAUAAUACCCGUGACUACUGACGGUACCGGAAGAAGAAGCACCGGCUAACUACGUGCCAGCAGCCGCGGUAAUACGUAGGGUGCGAGCGUUAAUCGGAAUUACUGGGCGUAAAGCGUGCGCAGGUGGUUUUGUAAGUCAGAUGUGAAAGCCCCGGGCUCAACCUGGGAACUGCGUUUGAAACUACAAGACUAGAGUGUGGCAGAGGGGGGUGGAAUUCCGCGUGUAGCAGUGAAAUGCGUAGAGAUGUGGAGGAACACCGGUGGCGAAGGCAGCCCCCUGGGUUAACACUGACACUCAGGCACGAAAGCAUGGGGAGCAAACAGGAUUAGAUACCCUGGUAGUCCAUGCCCUAAACGAUGUCAACUAGUUGUCGGGCCUUUACGGGCUUGGUAACGUAGCUAACGCGUGAAGUUGACCGCCUGGGGAGUACGAUCGCAAGAUUAAAACUCAAAUGAAUUGACGGGGACCCGCACAAGCGGUGGAUUAUGUGGAUUAAUUCGAUGCAACGCGAAAAACCUUACCUACCCUUGACAUGUAUCGAAGCCCGCAGAAAAGCGGGGGUGCCCGAAAGGGAACGAUAACACAGGUGCUGCAUGGCUGUCGUCAGCUCGUGUCGUGAGAUGUUGGGUUAAGUCCCGCAACGAGCGCAACCCUUGUCAUUAAUUGCCAUCAUUUAGUUGGGCACUUUAAUGAGACUGCCGG
Molecule: ribosomal RNA, 916 nt
Filed under: uncultured bacterium
Lineage: Bacteria
Description: bacterial SSU rRNA
Rfam family: Bacterial small subunit ribosomal RNA
Source: RNAcentral